CCUGCCUCAAAAACAUCAGAGAUGAAUUUGGUCUGUUGUGAAAAGACUUUAAAAUGGAAUAACAGAGGUUCUUAUGUGCCUGGAUUACUUUUCUGAGAUCCAUUCCAAUGCUUUUUUUCCCCCGCUCUAUGACCAAGCUUUGUUCGCAUUGUUCUGUUAUCUUGUAGUAUUGUGUACUCCUUUUGAGAAAGAGCACAGCCAUGUCUUCAACUGUAAUGAUCCAAUUUUAUGUAUCUAGAUGUUUUAAAGAAUCUCUUAAUUGUUGGAAUUCUUAUUCAUUAUCUUUCCUGGAAUGCGGUGGGACAUUUUUAUUUGCAAUUUCUACUCUUCCUCAUUUUUUCAUAAAUCCGUUUGAGUCAUUUUUUUAUGUAAAAUCACUCUAGCAAACAAAAUACCAUGAAAGAAUUAUUUUCUGUAUUUUACAUUUAUUUUCCACUUUCAAAUUGCUUUUAUCUUGUAGCAUCGUCUGUAUUCACAUUAAUCAUCUCCAGUGUUUCUAUAAACCGUGUCAUCUAUGGUUUAUAGCUAUACCUGUUUUCUAAUUUGUUAUUUUCUGGUUGAACUUUGAAUGUAUUUAUGUAUUCCAGAUUAUCAUCCUUUGUUAUAUAUGUAGUGUGCAAAUAUUUUCUCUCUGUAACUUUUAAAAUAAUCCCUUUUCCAGAGUCUUUUGCUGAGCAUGAGAUUUAAUUUUGAUAAGGCUUAAUACCUCAGUUUUUUUCUUUUAUGAACGGUUUUAUGUUUAUUUUCAAUUGGAGGGUUUGAAUACUAUGGUACAGAUGAAA
RNAcentral lists this long non-coding RNA (782 nucleotides) under Marmota monax (woodchuck). The record is from RNAcentral. Lineage: Eukaryota; Metazoa; Chordata; Mammalia; Rodentia; Sciuridae.